RNAcentral lists this ribosomal RNA (776 nucleotides) under uncultured bacterium. Its description in RNAcentral is "bacterial SSU rRNA". It matches the Rfam family "Bacterial small subunit ribosomal RNA", at positions 97 to 850 of the family's 1533-position model. The record is from RNAcentral.
GGCGCACGGGUGAGUAACGCGUGGAUAAUCUGCCCUUCAGUUGGGAAUAACUCAUCGAAAGGUGGGCUAAUACCGAAUAACGCUGUAAGACCUUGGUCGAUCAGCCAAAGAGAGCCUCUGCUUGCAUGCCCUCGCUGAAGGAUGAGUCCGCGUACCAUUAGCUAGUUGGUAGGGUAAUAGCCUACCAAGGCGACGAUGGUUAGCUGGCCUGAGAGGAUGAUCAGCCACACUGGAACUGAGACACGGUCCAGACUCCUACGGGAGGCAGCAGUGAGGGAUCUUGCGCAAUGGGGGAAACCCUGACGCAGCAACGCCGCGUGAGUGAGGAAGGUCUUCGGAUCGUAAAGCUCUGUCAGAUGGAAAGAACCGCAUGGGGGUUAACAGCCCCUGUGUCUGACGGUACCAUCAGAGGAAGCACCGGCUAACUCCGUGCCAGCAGCCGCGGUAAUACGGGGGGUGCAAGCGUUGUUCGGAAUUAUUGGGCGUAAAGAGCGUGUAGGCGGCCUGAUGUGUCAGAUGUGAAAGCCCUGGGCUCAACUCAGGAAGUGCAUUUGAAACUGUCAGGCUUGAGUAGGGGAGAGAGAAGUGGAAUUCCUGGUGUAGAGGUGAAAUUCGUAGAUAUCAGGAGGAUCACCGGUGGCGAAGGCGACUUCCUGGCCCUAUACUGACGCUGAGACGCGAGAGCGUGGGUAGCAAACAGGAUUAGAUACCCUGGUAGUCCACGCCGUAAACGAUGUUCACUAGGUGUUGGGGGUAUUGACCCCCUCAGUGCCGGA